Phyllostomus discolor (pale spear-nosed bat) is the source of this 1812-nucleotide long non-coding RNA. RefSeq lists it as uncharacterized. The transcript is spliced from 2 exons. The record is from RefSeq and is a predicted model, not a curated record. Lineage: Eukaryota; Metazoa; Chordata; Mammalia; Chiroptera; Phyllostomidae.
UUCCCCGGCGUGGCGGCUAGGGCUCUUCUUUGGUUCAGCCUUCCCACUUUCCUCCUCCCCCGGCCCCUAGGCUGACUCCCCACUCCUCUUUACCCCAGCCCCCUCUGGUCAGUCUCCCAACUCCCGAUCCGGCUCUCCUCGGGCCACGUUCCUUCCGUCCGAAUAUCCCCCACUUCCCUCUGACUCGCCUCCCCACUCCUCUUGUUCCAGGCCCCGGCCCCCAAAACCUCCCUCAGCAGCGCACUCCCACGGUGUCCCUAGACCCUGGUGGGCCCGCGUGGCCCGCGGCUCCAGGAGCAUGCCGGCGCGCCUCCGGCCCCGCAGGCCGCUCACUCCUCCGCGAGGCCUCUCUUUCCUUUCCCCGUGCCGCCUCAUCUCAGGCUGUCCCUUCCUUGGACGCUCCAUCACUCCGUCCCUCCAUCCUUCCCUUGCAGGAAAUGGGGUCAAGCUCGGGCUUCACCGGCGGGAGGGGCGGAGGUGAGCCACCGCUGAGUAAUUGAGUGCCCUGGGCGGUUCCCGGGCACAGUCCUCUUGUCCCAGUUGCAGCACCACACGAAAAUAGCCUAAUGCCGGUGUUUCCCACCUAUUCUCAGCUUCCUAGGAACACCUUGGGCUUGGGACCUCGAUGGCCUCAGCCAUGUUCAACAAGUGAGUUUGGCUCCCUCCCCCCACCGAACAGCCGCCUUGUGCAGAAAGCAGUGGGAAAAAACUAGUAGUUUGGUGCUAAGAAAAACCAGAGAGUACAACGUGAAAUGUAAAAGUAGAGCCCCACGACUGGAAAUGACUAUUUUUGUGGCCGCAGCAAACGAGCCUUUAGAAAACAAGAUUAAAAAUAGAGGUGGUUUUCGCAGCCUGCUUGGUCCCUUAGCAGUUUGAACACAGGAAACUGACUUAUUCUCAGAGGAAGGAUUUUUCUUGAUUCAAAUAGUGUUACAGGAAGUGCCUGCCCCUCCCCCGCACUUGCCAGGGCAGGGUUGAAGGCUCAUGCUGUAUAUAAAUCAGGUUCUGAGUGUUUAAUCGGUUGACUCAGCUUGCCUGGGGAGUCAGGCCCAUAGACUGCCUUUGGGAAGAGUCCUGCAGUGUUCUUCCAGUGUGCCUUUAAGACAAAACCCUUCAGACUUUGUUUGGACGGGGAUGUGUUUUCAAAGGUGGGGUACAGACUUGUAUUUCCUGCCCCAUCAGGAUCACCUUGCUUAGUCCUUUGGUGAAAUGGUGGCACGAGGUGGGCCCCGUGAGGGGUGGUGGAUUCUGCAGUCUGGUGCAGUACCCGCACUUGGGCAGGUGGUACCAAAAGGGCUGCAGGGUCAGGCCUGCAGCCCAGAACCGCCCGCAGAUGGGGGGAGAACAGGGUCUGCCUAUCUGCUCCCUGGGUCUCGGUGUUGUAGGGCCUUGUUGGAGGUCAUCUCUUGUAUGCCACUGACUAGUGAUGGGUUUCUUGUGGCCGCUUGGAGGCCUAGGCGGAGCACAUGCAGGGGUGGUAGUUUCUCCACCGCUGGCAAUGUCAGGAGCCUUGUUACUAUGGAGAGUGUACCUCUAGGGACUGGGGAAAGGAAGGUUAGCAGGUGAGAACUGAAAUCCUAGGAAAUGUGAGGCCCAGGGAAGGAGGAAGAACUAAUGUUGACUGAGUCCUUACCAUGUGCCAGGUAUGGACCUCAUAUUAGACCAUUGAAUUUAAACUAUGGAACAGGCUUCUGGGAGUCAGGACGGAGGUGAGGAGAGUAGAAAUAGGGGUUGAUUGAUUGGAGUGGGAAGUGCAGGAAGGAGGCCCCUGCGGCUGUGCACGGAAACCGGUCACGGUGGGAGAUAACACAG